Long non-coding RNA from Eptesicus fuscus (big brown bat), 373 nucleotides. RefSeq lists it as uncharacterized. The transcript is spliced from 3 exons. Lineage: Eukaryota; Metazoa; Chordata; Mammalia; Chiroptera; Vespertilionidae. The record is from RefSeq and is a predicted model, not a curated record.
CUGGGUGUUCUCUCCCUCCCGAAACGCCUGUGCUACCCGCUGCCGCAGCUUACUCACCUAGAGGAGAUGAUUGGCUGCUGCACCCAGAGAUGUUACCAUAAGAAGUGGGCUGGGACCUGCAUCCGAGCCGUCCCCUUAAAGGAUCACUCCUCUGCACCGCACAGAUCCAGUGGGAAAUGUCUGUGUGGUAUGUUGUCAGUUCAUGUGUGUGAUUCUUGCUUCCUCAACGAGAAUACAAGCUCCCCAGAGCUGGAUCGUCCACAGUGCUGAGCAGAGGCAGCAGGGAAGAGCUGAUGUUCCGUACAAGGACCCUGGCUGAUGGCUGCAUCUGGGCUCUGUCAUCUUUAAGUAAACUCAGAUUGCAGGUCAAAUA